UACGUAGGGUGCAAGCGUUAAUCGGAAUUACUGGGCGUAAAGUGUGCGCAGGCGGCUUGGCAAGUCGAGUGUGAAAUCCCCGGGCUUAACUUGGGAAUUGCGCUCGAAACUACGUGGCUGGAGUGUGGCAGAGGAAGGUGGAAUUCCACGUGUAGCGGUGAAAUGCGUAGAGAUGUGGAGGAACACCAAUGGCGAAGGCAGCCUUCUGGGCCAACACUGACGCUCAUGCACGAAAGCGUGGGGAGCAAACAGG
This 253-nucleotide ribosomal RNA is filed under the name uncultured bacterium. RNAcentral describes it as "partial 16S ribosomal RNA". It matches the Rfam family "Bacterial small subunit ribosomal RNA", at positions 524 to 776 of the family's 1533-position model. The record is from RNAcentral.